UUCCCUGUAGCUCAGUUGGUAGAGCAUGGUGUUUGCAAUGCCAGGGUUGUGGGUUUGAUUCCCAUGGGGGACC
This 73-nucleotide transfer RNA is filed under the name Salmo salar (Atlantic salmon). It matches the Rfam family "tRNA". Rfam says of the family: Transfer RNA (tRNA) molecules are approximately 80 nucleotides in length. Their secondary structure includes four short double-helical elements and three loops (D, anti-codon, and T loops). The record is from Rfam by way of RNAcentral. Lineage: Eukaryota; Metazoa; Chordata; Actinopteri; Salmoniformes; Salmonidae.